This 440-nucleotide ribosomal RNA is filed under the name uncultured bacterium. Its description in RNAcentral is "partial 16S ribosomal RNA". It matches the Rfam family "Bacterial small subunit ribosomal RNA", at positions 338 to 795 of the family's 1533-position model. The record is from RNAcentral.
CCUACGGGAGGCAGCAGUGGGGAAUAUUGCACAAUGGGGGGAACCUUGAUGCAGCAACGCCGCGUGGGUGAAGAAGUAUUCCGGUAUGUAAAGCCCUGUCAGCAGGGAAGAAAAUGACGGUACCUGACCAAGAAGCCCCGGCUAACUACGUGCCAGCAGCCGCGGUAAUACGUAGGGGGCAAGCGUUAUCCGGAUUUACUGGGUGUAAAGGGAGCGUAGACGGCAAGGCAAGUCUGAAGUGAAAGCCCGGGGCCCAACCACGGGACUGCAUUGGAAACUGUGUUGCUGGAGUGCAGGAGGGGGAAGCGGAAUUCCUAGUGUAGCGGUGAAAUGCGUAGAUAUUAGGAGGAACACCAGUGGCGAAGGCGGCCUACUGGACUGUAACUGACGUUGAGGCUCGAAGGCGUGGGGAGCAAACAGGAUUAGAUACCCUAGUAGUC